RNAcentral lists this transfer RNA (66 nucleotides) under Armadillidium nasatum. RNAcentral describes it as "tRNA-His". Lineage: Eukaryota; Metazoa; Arthropoda; Malacostraca; Isopoda; Armadillidiidae. The record is from RNAcentral.
CCUUAUAAUUUAUAAAAAAAAAAAAUAUUAAGUUGUGGUCUUAAAAAAGGUUCUCUCCUUAAUAAC